UACGUAGGGUGCAAGCGUUAAUCGGAAUUACUGGGCGUAAAGCGUGCGCAGGCGGUUUUGUAAGACUGACGUGAAAUCCCCGGGCUUAACCUGGGAAUGGCGAUGGUGACUGCAAGGCUAGAGUUUGGCAGAGGGGGGUAGAAUUCCACGUGUAGCAGUGAAAUGCGUAGAUAUGUGGAGGAACACCGAUGGCGAAGGCAGCCCCCUGGGUCAAAACUGACGCUCAUGCACGAAAGCGUGGGGAGCAAACAGG
RNAcentral lists this ribosomal RNA (253 nucleotides) under uncultured bacterium. RNAcentral describes it as "partial 16S ribosomal RNA". It matches the Rfam family "Bacterial small subunit ribosomal RNA", at positions 524 to 776 of the family's 1533-position model. The record is from RNAcentral.